GACGAACGCUGGCGGCGUGCCUAAUACAUGCAAGUCGAGCGGAUGGAAGGAAGCUUGCUUCCUAAAGUCAGCGGCGGACGGGUGAGUAACACGUGGGCAACCUGCCCCUAAGAUCGGGAUAACUUCGGGAAACCGGAGCUAAUACCGGAUAUGAUUAUUUCUCACAGGAGAGAUAAUGGAAAGACGGUUUCGGCUGUCACUUAGGGAUGGGCCCGCGGCGCAUUAGCUAGUUGGUGAGGUAACGGCUCACCAAGGCGACGAUGCGUAGCCGACCUGAGAGGGUGAUCGGCCACACUGGGACUGAGACACGGCCCAGACUCCUACGGGAGGCAGCAGUAGGGAAUCUUCCGCAAUGGACGAAAGUCUGACGGAGCAACGCCUCGUGAGUGAAGAAGGUUUUCGGAUCGUAAAACUCUGUUGUUAGGGAAGAACAAGUACCAUAGUAACUGAUGGUACCUUGACGGUACCUAACCAGAAAGCCACGGCUAACUACGUGCCAGCCGCCGCCGUAA
This 512-nucleotide ribosomal RNA is filed under the name uncultured bacterium. RNAcentral's name for it is "partial 16S ribosomal RNA". It matches the Rfam family "Bacterial small subunit ribosomal RNA", at positions 28 to 523 of the family's 1533-position model. The record is from RNAcentral.